This 3439-nucleotide long non-coding RNA is filed under the name Lactuca sativa (garden lettuce). RNAcentral describes it as "long non-coding RNA (LSAT_LNC005220)". Lineage: Eukaryota; Viridiplantae; Streptophyta; Magnoliopsida; Asterales; Asteraceae. The record is from RNAcentral.
AGAGUACCUCUUUUAAUAAAAAUGUUGCGGAAUUUGUUCCCAGUAAAACAUGAUAAAUACGUUAUCAAAGCAUUUCCAAAGAAAAGUAUUUUUAUUCAUUUUAAAACAUUCGGGAUGUCAUCAUUAUUUUUAUUCAUUUUAAAACAUUCGGGAUGUCAUCGUCAAUACAGAAACGUAAGCAUAAACAGAACUUACAUUCAAUAUCACUAGUGAUUUAUAUCUCCUUAAUCUCUCAGUAUAAUGUGACUUCAUAUCAACACCUGUGAUAUAAAUAAACUGAGUGGGUCAGGUUGGGAAACCUGGUGAGUACAUAUGGUUUUCAACCCACAAUAAUAUAAUUAUUACGUUUAAACAUCAAACAAUCAACCCAAUUACCCAUCCCCAUUAUCUUCCUUACUCUUAAGGGUCUACCCUAAGAUUCAUCUAUCCUGCAUUCGUUCAUUUUGAAGUCCCUUGUUUCUAGGGUUUAUAAGACAGGCACUAAUUCCAUAGUUUCCAAUGCACUAAAUCCAUAGCUGCUAAAGUUCAUUCAUCGGGUACUAAAUCCAUAGCUACGAGUGUAGGUACUAAGUCCACAACGUUUACCUAACAAGCACUAAGUCCAUAGCUGCCAGGUACUAAGUCCAUAGUUACCAUCACCUAACAGGUACUAAGUCCAUAGCUACCUGUGUUUACCUAAUAGGUACUAAGUCCAUAGCUACCAGUGUUUGUCCAAUAGGCACUAAGUCUAUAGCUGCCGAUGUUAUUUAUUACGAGCUAAGUCUAUAGCUGUUAAUGUUUACUCACAUCAUCUUUUAUCUCUCAUUAUUCAUCAAACCAUGUCAUACCCAACAUAUUUGUAUAUAUAAAAUACAUAUACAGUUUAAAUCAUUUAAAACAUGUAUAAAAUCGUUCAUCCAGCAUAGAUAGCAAGUAUAUAGAUAAUAUGCACAUGUAGCACAUAGUUUAUACAAAAUACUUCAUAUCUAUGUGUAAGACAAAAGUAACUAUGCACUCACCUGGGAAGGUGGUGACUCGACACUCGAACAACACUUCGUUACUCUCAACUCAACUUUCCUCAGACAAAACCUAAUAUUAUUACCACUAGAGUUUAGUCUAAUAUUCACCGAGACUAAUUAAUAGUCUGUCUAUUAUUACUAUUAUAUAAGCGUUAAACAAUACUUAUAUAACCCAUAAUAAUAGCCCAAGUACUUAUUAUAAGUUCCUAAUAACGUUACUAUAAUUAAAUAAAAGCUAUAUUAAAAAUAGUGUAGGCGUAGCUCACAUAAAGUGGGAUUUUCGCAAAACCGGGCUUCGCUGGAGUAGCGUUCCCGAACCGAAAGACCCUUUUUCUCGGGACUUCGGGAGCGUCGAGGCUUCCUUCGGGUGCUAGGGGGUUUACCUAGAUUUAGGGGGGGUUAGGGAGCUUAGAGAGAGAGAGAGAGAGAGAGAGAGAGAGAGUAUAGAGAGAGAGAGAACGAAAAGGGUUGAGGGGUGAGGAAAUGAGGGAACCCGACACUCUUAUUUAUAGGUUGAAUUCCUGAAGGACUUGCCGAGUCGGUUCACUAACCCGCCGAGUCAAUGCCACAUGUCAUCACCUGAUGGCUUUUCUUGGGGAGAAAGCCUUGGCCCAUAUUCAGCCAUGUCACCCCUUUUGCAGUAGCACCCUGUCGUCACUUCCUCGCUACAUUUCCCAAAGUGUUUCUUUUUACACUUCUCGCACCACUUAGCUUCACCUCCUCCUCCUCAUCCUUCAGUCUUUGAGAAUUUCCUUUCUUUAUUGGAUUUUGUAGAUCUUUCAAACUUCCGCUUUUCUCUUGCCUUAUCUUUAUCUAGACACUUUUCUCUUAUCCGGGUCUCUACGUUCUUAGCUGCUCUAACGGCUGUUUUCAAAGUAGUUUCCAUUUUGACCGUUGGGCCAAAGUCCGUGGGCAGUCCACUAGCAAACCUAUCGAUCUUGGAGAGUUCAGUAGGCACCAAGUAGGGGAAUAGCUUCAUCCUCUCGGUGAAUGCGGUGACAUACUCAUCCACACACAUAUUUCCAUUCUUCAAGUUCUGAAAUUCGUUGUUUAGGUCUCUCAGAUCUAUCUCUGAGCAGUACUGCAUUUUCAACUGCUCCACGAAUGCUUCCCAAGACAUUCGCAUGGCUUCUCCUCGUGGCAUUGUAUCUGCCAAAAACUUCCACCAACUUAGCACUCCAGUCUUUAGUUGUCUGACUGCAAAGACGGUCUUUUGCCUGUCGCUACAGUCACAAUUUUCAAACACCAUCUCCAUUUCGGAGAUCCAAUCCAUAAUCUCAAUCGGCUUCGGGCUUCCAGAAAGGCUUGGUGGCUUAGCACCCAAGAAGUUCUUAUACAUUCAUCCAUCCUUGUCGUUUCCCCUCUCCAGGCCAUUCCUUCGUUCUCCUUGAGUCCCAACUUGACUCACAGGGCGGCUAUAAUUCCCUUCCUUCGAUUGCUCGGGAAUCAGCUCAGGUUGCUCAAUGGGCGUGAUAGGUUCGUCCCUAUUUUCAUGCACCAUCAUCCUCAUUUCUUCCCUUUGUUCAGCUAACAUAGCCCGAAUUAUGGCUUGUACUCCAGCCAUGGUGAUUGGUCCAGGUGUAGCUUCUACUACAACAAGUAUUUGUUCAAUCACUAGGGGCUGUUGAUUCCUAUUUCCAUUUGCGUUCCCGACUCCACUUCGGGUUAUUGCCAUUUCGAUCUAAACACCAAUUCAGACGUUCGGUGUGUAAUGACGAGAAUUAAGAUAGGAAAGAUUUUAUUUACGAUCGACGUGCAAAUCUACCUAUUACUCCGAAAAGUUACAUGCCAGUUCUAAUACCGUACCUAAACGUUUAGAAAUCUAAACACAUAAAAUUUCCAAAUCCGGUCAGCAACAGACAAUAGAUCCGUUCAGACAUCUAGCAUCAUAAAGCAUCAUAAAUCAUUUAGAACAUAAACGCAUGUUAGGCAUUUUCCCUAAAUAAGCUAGUGCUUGUGUCUAUUCAGUUGUAUUACCUAAGACACACUCCUCACCAUCAUUGCUUAGCAUUCUAAGUUUAAAUCUAGAAAUAAAAUCAUAUUCCUAGUUCGCUUAAACUAAUGCUCUGAUACCAACUGUGACAUCCUCAUUUUCUUUGCCAGAAAAGACCGAUUUUGUUUAUGCUUUAUAAAAAUCAAAGUACCUAUUUUAAUAAAAAUGUUGUGGAAUUUGUUCCCAGUAAAACAUGAUAAAUACGUUAUCAAAGCAUUUCCGAAGAAAAGUAUUUUUAUUCAUUUUAAAACAUUUGGGAUGUCAUCGUCAAUACAGAAACAUAAGCAUAAACAGAACUUACAUUCAUUAUCACUAGUGAUUUAUAUCUCCUUAAUCUCUCAGUGUAAUGUGACUUCAUAUCAACACCUGUGAUAUAAAUAAACUGAGUGGGUCAGGUUGGGAAACCUGGUGAGUACAUAGGGUUUUCAACCCAUAAUAAUAUAAUUAU